This 17170-nucleotide long non-coding RNA is filed under the name Ananas comosus (pineapple). RNAcentral's name for it is "long non-coding RNA (ACOM_LNC004536)". The record is from RNAcentral. Lineage: Eukaryota; Viridiplantae; Streptophyta; Magnoliopsida; Poales; Bromeliaceae.
GGCGUCAGCAGUCGCCCAACGGCAUUAAGGCUUAAUUUGGUAUUGAGAUGAAUCUAACGCUAUUAGAUAGAAUAGAGUUGAGAAAAAACAUAUAUAUAGGGAUAUGCUACUGCGUUCUCCGAUAGGACUGCAGAAAAUAUAUCAUAACCUACUAACUGCAAUAUACGGAACAUAAUAUUACGUACGGAAACAAACAUGGUAUUUUUUCAUCGUCGUUUCUCACUGCACGUAAUGCAAUGCCCCCGCAAUCCCAAACGAAACCUAAGUAAAUUGGAGUUAAAACAACCGAAUAGGGUAAUUACAUGCACUUUUGGUCCUCAAUCUCUGGGGCGUGUGAUAUUUUAGUUUUCGAAUUUUAAUAUGCUGUAAUUUCUGAUUCGAACCAUAAGGUGCAUUACACUUUAAUUUUAGAACUUUAAUUAAUUACAAUUUAUACUCGAACUAUAUAAGUAAUGUGAAGCUUUAGUUCUCGAACUUUUUGGAUUAUUAUAAUCAGGUUCCACAGCCUAAUUUUUUGAAUAAAUAUUGAUGAAUUAAUAAUAUCGAAAUGGUAUAGUAUUUUAAUUACUAUUGCUUCAUCAAGAAGUAUAUUACUACAAUUCAGAAAGUUCGAGAACUAAAAUCUUACAUAUUUCAUAGAUUGAAUAAAAAAUUAUGGCUAAUUAAGAUUGAAGAUUAAAGUGUCAUGUACCUUAUAGUUUGAUUUAAAAAUUAUAACUAAUUAAAAUUUAAAAACUAAAGUGUGUCAAGCGUCUUAUAGUUUUAGCUAAAAAACUUGAGAACUAAAAUAUUAUGUUCGUCAUUAUUUGAGGACCAAAAGUUUUAUUUACAUAGAAGCUCAAUUUUAUAUAUAUAGGAUAAGGCUAUUAUACUCUUAUGAGUAUAGAUUUUUUUGUACUCAUAAAUUUUUCGGCCAUUAGAUAAAAUAAUAUGCAGUGAGGAUGAUAGUAGUUCUCUAGGGUUGAACGGCCAGUUGGUUGAAUAGUAUGAUAAAAAAAAUGUGUUUAACGGCAAAAAAUUUUUGAGUAUAAAGAGAUUUAUACUCAUAAGAAUACAGUAGCCGAACUCUCUCUCUCUCUCUCUAUAUAUAUAUAUAUUAAUUUUUUUGUUUAAAAUUUAACCACUUUAAUGCACAUAAUAAUAAUAAUAAUAAUAAUAAUAAUAAUAAUAAUAUCUUUGCGGUAAUCCCAAUGGGAGCCUCCAGAGUCUUAGAAUUAGGUUGAUAUGGGAGAGAGAUUUCCUUUUUUUUUUAUGCACAGAAAUUUCACGCAUACACUAGCGGAUGGACUGGAGUAGAUUUUUCUAAUGCACGAGGUUGGACUGGACUGGAGUAGAUUUUUCUAAUGCACGAGGUUGGACCGAGAAAACCUGUCAAAAAUCACGCGGAUUACCACUCGAUCUCUAGUGCGCAUUUACGUUUCCAACUCGGAAUCCGUGAUUACAACAGCACAAUAAUUUACUACAUAUUAUUAUCAGCCUCUAGUGCGCACUUUAUAGCAGGAAUUGAAUCAGUACUAAAGAUAUAACAGCAUAAUAUUUAACCACUAGAUUAGGCCUUCUGCCUAAACAUGGUACGUAAUUAUUAUUAUUCAAAGCAAAAGUAUACAAAACAAAUAAAAUAAAACAAAAAUUUUGUCACAUAAGGAUAGCUCAUCUCAUUAUGCACGGGGCUAAUAAUAGAAAACUCCAAAUCUGAAUUUUUGAGUAGGGGUGCCGUUUUUUCUGGGCCCACAAGAUUAAUUUCUUCUCAAUCUGCACCAACUCGUGUCGUCUCCUUAUCGCCAACGUUAGCCAUCUUCUGCAUUAAUUGCUGAGUAAAAAGUUUGACUUCUUAUGGAUGGACAUGCAGGUACGGAGACGGAACUCCACGUCGACUAACAUCCAUCUUACACCGCCUUGAACAGGUUUUUGUUUUUGUGCUCAUUACGUAUCACAAUCACCUCUACAAGUCUUAUGCGUUCGUGUCGGACAUGCAUAUAUCCGAUAUAAAUACUCUUAGAACACUCGUUUAAUAUCGAUUCAUAAUAUAUACAAUUAAAAUAUAUAUAUAUAUAUAUAUAUAUAUAUAUUUAUUUAUUUAUUUAUUUUAUUUUUUUUUGCAUAUACAAUAUACGUUAAUAAAAUAUUUUAGUUUUUUUAUCAAUAUAUACAAUUUUUUUGACAAUAUAAAUAAAUUAUGUAUGAUGGAAAUUUUUUUUCUUAAAAUAUAUGAACUAUUAAUGAAAAUUUUACUAACUUUCAUUUAUAUGAAAAAUAUAAUAAUAUUUUAUCAAAAUUAAUAUUUUAUAUAUAAUAAAAAUAUAUUAUUAUAUUAAUAAUAUUGUAUUUUAUUAGCGGUGUUUAUGUCGUGUCCGUAUUUUAAUUUUUUAAAAGUUUCCAACUCAAGGUGUCCGAAUCGUGUUGUAUUUCGUAUUCUGUGUCAGUGUCCGUGACGUCUAAAUUUUCGUUUAAAUUUCACUAUUUUUUUUCUUUUUUUUUUUGUUUUGGUGGCUGGAGUGUCCGCAUGCGCACUGAUCAUCAUUCCAGUUUCUGCUGUAUUCCGAUAAUACAACAUCUUUUAUAUUUGAAGUUGCCGAAGUGUGUGACCGUUUUUCUCAUUCUCGCUGCUAUCGUACCAAUGGGUUUAAGCUGUUUGUCUCAUCAAAAUGUUUUCAGGGAUUAAGAGUUCAAAUUAACGAUCGAUAUAGUUAAAGUUAAUAUAAAAAAUUUAAAUGCCUGAAAAGUAAAUUUGUGGUUUUGAAAGUUUUUUAUAUCCUGAUGGAAAGAUGUUGGGUUUGAUUUUUUAUUAUUUUUUAUUCUAAUAAGUUAUUUGCUCAGUUAACUAACGGUGUAAAACAAUUCUAAUAUAUUAUUUUGUGAUAGAAUAUUUUUUUUUUCACCAUUUCUAUUUUGUUUGACAAUCCCGAUCUUUAAUUGAAAAGCUUUAAUCUCCAUUUACAUAACAUUAUUUGUUAGCAAUUGUUCAUUUUGUGGUCUUCAAAAGAUAAGAAUUUUUUUUAAAAAAAAAUCACACAAUUCAAUUCCUGAACACUUUAUUUGUUUUAGGUCAUGCUUGACGGUCUGAUUACUAAUUCAAAAUUUUUAUCUUUAAAAAUGGCGUAGGGGCCAUUUGGAACUGAGGCUUGUCCAGUACUAACCAGAAAGAUAGAGUUGGAAGAAAAUCACUUAAGGAUAUAUUUUUUUAUUUUUCAAUGAGAAGGUAAAAAAUAUAUUGUAAUCGAUUUUUUAUGAUACUGAUAUUUCAUAUAAAAGUAAAUAAAAUAUAUUUUUAUCGUUCUUUUAUAAUAUAAUUUUUUUGUAAUUUCAAAUGUCGAGACAAAUUGGUGUGGUUUUUCUGGGCCUAGAAGACCAAAUUAAAUAACAAAGGAGGAACGGAGAAACGGAUAAGAGGAAAACAUGCUGGCUAAUUAUUGUGGCGCCUCAAUUCUUGACUAGACUAGAAGGGACCCCAAAAGCAUUUGCCCUUUCAUUUUUUGGAUAGAUAGAAAUGGUGGGCUGAGCUUUUAAUUUCUUUUCAUAUUAUCAAACAAUUGAGCUAUAAAAAUUUGUCCUAUUAUAACAGGAUAAUAAUAGCUAUAAAAAUUUGUCCUAUUAUAAUAGGAUAAUGAUAGCUAGAUUCCACUUAUCUUUUCACCACCGCCUUCAAAUGCGAGAAAUUCUACACUGUCACGCUUACAUAACGUCAUCAAUAAUAAAUCAAUCAUAUUUUUUCUUUUUAAACAAAAGUACAAUAAAAAUAUUUUUUACAAUUAUGAUGAAACAUAUAUCCCUAAUUGGUUUUACGCCACGUCACUAAUAUACCCGUUGCAUUCUAUAAUUUUUCCUUCAGUGCACUCAUCAAUUAAUUAAUAACAAAAUAUAAAAAAUGCUAUAGGCACCUCAAAAUAUAUUUUGAAAUAUUAUUAACAUGUAAAUUUUACUUAAAAUUUUGAAAAUGAAACUAGGAUGCUAUUAAUUAUAUUUUUUAGGUUAAAAUCGUGGAAAUUUUAUCAAAAAAAGUACUUGAUUACAUCAUAUAUAAUUUUGGAAAUAACAUAAGCGCAUUUACAUACAAAGGAAGAGUAAAAACAUAAAUAUCUUCAAAACUAGAUAAAAGAUGAGAGUGAACAUUAACAAUUCCCAAACCUAAGAAAGAAAAGAAAAAAGAAAUAAAUAAAUAAUGAGCCGUCUUCGAAUCUGAAACAAAUAAAUCAAGCUCGUGACAAUGAAGUUCGUGACAGAAAAUAAAAUAUGAUAGAUGAAAGUAAUCAUUUAAUCUGUACGUACGCCCAUUCAAACUCAUGUCCCUCUAAUUAUACCAGAGCGUCUCUAUAUAUUUUCGAAUCUGUCAAUCUCUAGUAUGAAAAAUACUCAUGAGGUUUAUUGGGCCUGACAGAGUUAAAGAAGAUAGAAAAGAGCAGAACAAUAAGAAGAUGAGCUAGAUAAUUGUGCUACCAAGUUGUUUUCAAUGAUACGGUUUUCAAAUCGGCGAUCGGCUCCGUUACAUUUAAUCUACAUUAUUUAAAAUAUUUAAAAAUUAAAUUUCAUAAUUUUUUGACAUCGUUUACCUAUCAAACGAGUAGUCAAAAAACGAACGGCUGAAAAUAAAAAUUUCAUAAAAAAUAAUGAUAAAAAAUUUAAAUUUAAGACCAGAGAUACCGAUCUUACUCUAAAUAGUAAAAAAAAAAUUUAUAUAAAAAUUUUAUCAGAUUUGAAUUAUUUUACACUGUUAGAUUCACAUAUGCAUCACAUCGUUCAUUAAAAUUAUCAAUUUUGAGACAUUUUGAUCACUAGCCAAAUGAUAUUGAAAAAUUAUGAAAUUUAGUUUUCAAAUACUUUUAAUAUUGUAGAGCAAGUUUAAUAAAGCCGAUCGUCGAUUUGGAAGCCGCAUCAUUGAAAACAACUUGGUAGCACGAAAGCCUCCGUGUUACCGGUCUAACUUCAUAUAUAUAUAUAUAUAUAUAAUAAUAUAUAUUAUAUAUAUAUAAUUAUAUAUAUAAUAUAUAUAUAAUAUAAAUAUAUUAGUCUGGGUUGUUACUAGGAGUCCCAGCGGAGCCCUCCGUGCUCUUAAGUCGUUUUUGAUGAUAGAAUUUUCGAAUCGACGAUCGGCUCAGUUAGACUUAAUCUAGCUAACAUAUUUGAAAUAUCCAAAAAAUAAAUUUUGCGAUUUUUCGAUAUCAUUUAGCUAGCGAUCAAAAGGAUUCAAAAUCAACAAUUUUUAAUGAUUGAUGUAUACCAUUUGCAAGUUUAACGAUGUAGAAGUUUUCAAAUCAGAUAAAAUUUUGAUAGAAAAUUUGAUAAAAGUCCCUCCUGAGCUUCAGUAAUCAUAUAAAAUAAAAUUUAAAAAAAAGACAAAAGUAGAAAUAUGACCAACAUGAAACCUAGCUAGAGUGUGCUUAAUGAAUAAAGCAAAUAGCUUGCUACCUCUUUUUCAAAAAAAAAAAAAAAAAAAAAAAAAAAAAAAAAUAAAAAAAAAAACCUAGCUAGAGUGCAUAUUUUACACCUAUCCUAUAAGGUAUGUACAUGUACAUAGCAUUGCUCAUUUAUAUUGGUCUGUGCAAAGUGUAGUUUUGUGUAAUAAAUGUGGGUUGAAUAACAUCAGUAACUCAUCAAUCUACGUAAUAAAAUUUUUACACCAUCUAAAUAACUAUUUUGUGCCGCCAACAAUACUCCUCCAUAAUAAAUAAAUGAAAGGAGAAGCUAAAAUGAGGCAUGCGGAUACCACAAAUAAAUAGCAUAUGCAUGAACUCCUUUUGAGUCCGUACCUAACGGAGAGCACUCCAAAUUAAGUUUCUAUGGCUCUUCCUAACAUGAUUGCCUCCCUGCCUUUUGUUGUUCUCCUACUGCUCCCUCUUCUACUCCUCACAAGAAGAAAGGGGAGCAGCACAUCACUAAAACUUCCCCCGGCCCCUCCCAAGCUCCCAUUCAUCGGCAACCUCCAUCAGCUUGGAAUACUCCCCCACCGCUCCCUCUCUCGGCUCUCGCAGCGAUACGGCCCCCUCAUGUACCUAAAACUUGGCUGCAGGCCGACCGUCGUGGUGUCCUCUGCCGACAUGGCCCGGGAGAUCCUAAAGACGCACGAUCUGGAGUCCUGCAGCCGACCGUCCCUCACCUCGUAUACGAAGCUCUCCUACGGUGGCUCGGACAUCGGCCUUGCAGCAUACGGAGAGCAGUGGAGAGAGCUCCGAAGGAUUUGUAUCAUCGAACUUUUCAGUGCCAAGAAGGUCGCCUCGUUUCGAUCCAUUCGAGAAGAAGAGGUGGAAAGAACUAUGAGCUUCAUAUCCGACUGCUCAACCAGUUAUCUCCCUGUCGAUUUGAGCAAAGAACUGCUAGCGCUUACGAGCACUAUCACUUGUAGAAUGGCUUUUGGAAGGAGCUACCAUGAUGUUGGAAGCAGGUUUCAGGCAAUUCUGAACGAAACACAAACUAUACUCGCAAGCCUUUUCAUCGCGGACUACUUGCCGAUCAUCGGAUGGGCCGAUUGGCUCACAGGGAUGAGAGCGAGGCUCGAGAAGAACUUUAUCGAUCUUGAUCGGUUCUACCAGAAAGUCAUUGACGAGCAUCUCGAUACAAUGCGGCAGCAACGUGACUCUAGCGAAGACUUUGUGCAUAUGUUACUGCGCAUGCAAAAGAACGAGAAUAGUCUAACCACAGACCAGAUCAAAGGAGUCCUUAUGGUCAGUAAAAUGUUCGAUGCCGAAUCACAUAAAACAUUUUCCUAUAUUGUUCUACACGAGUGAGUUUACUCUUUUUUGCAGAAUGUUUUCAUUGGUGGGAGCGAUACGUCCUCAGCCACCGUGGAGUGGGCGAUGACGGAGCUAAUGAGGCACCCGCAAGCGAUGAAAAAAGCUCAAGAAGAGGUAAGAAGCCUCGUCGGGGGGAAAGGGAAGGUAGAGGAGAAGGACAUCGACCAACUGCGCUACCUCAAGUGCGUUGUGAAGGAGACCUUGCGGUUGCACCCGGUGGCUCCCAUGCUGAUCCCAAGAACAACGUUGCAGCAUUUCAAAAUCGAUGGCUAUGAUGUCCCGCCCAAUACGAUGAUGUACAUCAAUGCUUGGGCGAUCGGAAGGGACGGGAGCUACUGGGAAUGGCCGGAGUCGUUCAAGCCGGAGAGGUUCAUUAAUAGCUCGGAUCUCGAGUUCGCAGGUAAGGACUACAAUUUGAUACCAUUUGGGGAAGGUCGCAGGAUCUGUCCAGGAAAGAACCUCGGGAUAAAAACGGUGGAGAUCAUGCUUGCCAACCUUCUUUACUCCUUCGACUGGGAACUUCCAACGGGUAUGACGAAGGAGGAUAUCAACAUGGAUGAGGCGCCGGGCAUUGCUGUGCACAAAAGACAUGCUCUCCACCUUCUCGCCACCAGACAUAUAUAGCGGCAUCUAUAGCUAGUUAGCUACUAUACUAUAGAUAAUAUAAAAUUAGUAUUUACAAUAAAUAUUUUAGCCCUUGGAUGUCUAGAGUUGUCUAUUUGGGAGUUCUAUUAGUAUGGAUCUAAGAGCCAAAAGAUCUGUAAGAAUAACUAUUUCUCUACUAUAUAUCUAAAAUAUAGUAGCUUAACCGAGUGUGUGUAUAUAUAUAAUGCCUCUCACUGAGAUGUACUCUUAUUUAUCUAUCAUUGUACAUCUAUCUAUCAUUUUUCUAUCUACCUAUAUCAAUUACGUAUCUUACUAGCUAUCUUAAUUGUACAAUAUGCAAAUCAUAUGUAUGUACAAGCUUGAUCUCACACCUUCUCAGGCGUACAAAAACUAAUUUAUCAAUAUUUAAAAAUAGGGUAGAAUCACAUAUUCUACGUUAUUAUGUUAAGACAAUUUGCUACAGCAGUGUUUAAGAAAAAUCGAGGAAGUAUUUGGCUGUUGAUACUUCCGAUUGAAUAUUAGUAUACUAAUUAAAUAAAGAUUCCUUCAAUUAUCAAGGGUUUAAAAUGUUUGGAGCAUUUAAACGUGAGGCCGUUGUUUUGAUGCAUUCAUCUAGGAUUUACUGGCUCAAAUAAAAAAAGACGGGCCGAGCUGGAGCACGGCCACGGACAGGCUUAGUCCGUCCAUUAUUACACUACCUAUUGUUGGGCUGCGGCCGUUGAGCCCGUCGGCCCGAGGCUCGACACGGCACGAACUCAAGGCCUUUGCCUCAGACCUUGGGGUAUUAGUUCCUCCCUAGACGCUCUCCUUCCGAAGUCUGCCAAUAAAGACCUUGGGAAGAAUGGGUUGGUCCCUAUUGGAUCAAAACCUCGCAAUUGGUCAGCUUUUUUAAAAAAAUUAAAAAUUAAAAAUAAAAAAUAUAAUUUUUUAAAAAAUAAAAUAUUCACUAUUUUAUAAAUUUUUUUCUAAAUUUCAAUUGCUUUGAUCAAAAUAUAAAUUUAAAUAGGAGUAAUUUAAUUUUUUUAAUUUUUAUUUAAAAAAAAUAAUAAUAAUAAGAGACCGGUCAGCCUGAUUUGACAUGGCCAGUGACUUUCAGACCAGAGGGCCGUGCUAGGCCAGAGGCUUGGAAGAUCGACCCUGCACGACUUGGCCAGGAUUUGAAAGUCGAACCAACUCCUAGCUAGCUUAUUUUGAUCUGAAUAAGGAGGUGUUCGGCUUAGCUUUUAAAAAGCUCUUUUGGGUUGAAAAGUGAUUUUCGGCCCAAUAGAGCGUUUGGCAAAUUUAUUUUUAAAAUCUGAUUCUGCUUCUCAGAAUCAGAAAACUGAUUUUGAAGGCCCAGAAUCAGAAGCUGAAAAAAGCUGCUUCUUGAAAACUGAUUCUAAUUUUGGACUCAAAUAUUAAAUUUUUAUUUUUAUUUUAAAUUCAAUGUUUAAAUUAAAAUUUAAUUAGUUUUUUGUGCAUAAACGUUAUAUAGUUUUUACAUUGAUUUUAAUAUCAAACUUUAGUACUAUAUUUAUAAUUCGAUAAGCGAUCAAUUUUAUAUUUAAAAAUAUUCAAAAUAUGAUGGUGGACUUUUAAUUCUAACAAAUAAGUAUUCUAGAAUUUAUUAAAUAGUUUAAUAUAUUCUUUUUUGAAAUGAAAUUAUUAAUUGAAUAAAAUCGAUGGACGCUCAAUUCUAUCUUUGUCUGGAAUAAAAUUAAAAUAUAAAAAAAAAAAUUACGCUUUUGAUCCUCAAACUAUAAGGCAAGUGGCAUUUUAGUCCUCAAAUUUUAAUGAGUUAUAUUUUCUUGCUCAAACUAUGAGGCAUAUAAAGCUUUAGUUUCUAAAUUUUAAUUAGCUGCAAUUUUAGACUCGAACUAUGAAAUAUAUAAUAUUUUAAUCUUCAAUUUUCACUGUUAUUAUAAAUAUAAUUUAUUAUUUUUAUAAUUUUUUAAUUUUUUAUCAUUCAUAUAUUUUAUUAUAAAUAUGUAGAUCGAAGGAUUUGGAGAUUUUUUUUUUUUUAUAUGAAUCCCAUCUAAUUCUUCUCGUUUAUUAUAAAAAAUUUAAAUAUAUAUUUUUUAUGAAUAAUUUUGAAAUAAUUUUAACUAUAUGUAUUAAAUAUAAAUUUUAAUUUUAUAAUAUUGAUCACUUAGAUAUAAAUCGUAUAAUAAAAAAUAAAAAAAAUUGAUAGAGUUUAAAUUAUUUAUUUAUUUUAACAAAUUUAGUUGUGAGAAUCAUAUGAAUUAUAUUAACUAAAUUUAUAAAGCUAAACGACGCAUUUAAAUUUUAAAGUCAAAGUAUUAUUGACUGGCUCAUAUUUAAUAUAUAAAAAAGUUGGAUAGUAAAAAUAAAAUUUUGAAAGCUUGAAUAGCUAAUUUAAAAUAAUUCAUAGUUCAGAAAUACUUUGUAUAUUUUAACUUUAAUUUUAAUAUCAAUCUUCGAUGCCAUAUUUAUAGUUUAAUGAGUGAUUAAUUUCACAUUUAAAAUUUUUUGAAAUAUUCAAAAUAUGAUUGGUCGACUUUUAAUUUUAACAAUUCGGCAUUCUAAAAUUUAUUCGAUAAUUUAACAUUCUUUCCUCAUAUGACUUCGUUUGGAAUAAAAAUAAAACAUAAAAAGAUAAAUUACACUUUUGGUCAUCAAACUAUAAGAUGCGUGAAACUUUAGGCCUCAAAGUUUCAUGUAUUACACAAUUUCUUGCACAAACUAUAAGGCACGUAAUGUUUUAGUCCUUAAACUUUAAUUAGUUGUAAUUCUUGGUUCUAAUUAUAAGGCAUAUAAUAUUUUAAUUCUCUACUCUUACUGCUGCUAUAAAUAUAAUUUAUUAUUCUUAUAAUUUUUUUCUUAUUUAUUUUAUACUUCUUAUAUUUUUAUUCUUAUAGUUUUACUAUAACAGCUGUUGUGUCUUCUUCAACUUCUUUUAUUUAUAUUUUAUUUUUAUUCUUUAACUCUUUUUUUAUUUCUUUCGUUGUUUCUUUUUUUUAGCUUUAUUUUUUUUUGUAAAAUUUUUUAUCUUUAUUUAUUUAUUUAUUUUUGUGGAAUCGAUUCGCUGCAACGCGCGGACACCUUCACUAGUAGUAUAAUUAAGUCUUACAAAAAAAAUGAUUGCAGCACAUCGUAUGUGAUAACUAGAGUGAGGCUGAUAUAUAUGCUUUUGGAAAUUCGGAACCCUCCGUACUUUCAAGUCGUUUUCGAUGUUGGAAUUUUCGAAUCGACGAUCGACUCCGUUAGACUUGAUUUAGAGUAUUUAAAGUAGCUAGAAAAAAAAUUUUGUGAUUUUUCGAUAUCAUUUUCCUAAUAAUCGAACGGGCUCAAAAUCAAUAAUUUUAAUGGCCGUGGUGAGUCGUUUGCAAAUUUAAUGGUGUAAAUAUUCAAAUCACGUAAAAUUUUGAUAGAAAUUUUUUUAUACUAUAUAAAACAAAAACAAUUUCUGAUCUAAAAUUUCAAAGCCAUAUCAUCACAUUUUGUAAAAUUUUUAUUUUCAGCCGUUGAUUUUGAGCCCCUUCAAUUACUAGGCAAAUGAUAUUGAAAAAUCGUAAAAUUUAUUUUCUAUAUAUUUCAAAUACUCUAAGAGCAUGUUUGGUUCACCUAUUUUAGAUUAUGGAAUCGGAAUGGAAUUCAUUGAUUCCGAUAGUUGCCGUUUGUUUUAUAGAAAUCGGAUUCCAAUUCCCAUUCCACUCCGGAAUGGAAAUGGCCAAAUCUAUUUAUAAUCCAAUUCGGUUUUAAAUUCCGGAUUGGCUCAUUCCAAAGUAAACUAUUUAAAAUUUUCUUUCAUCAACACCUACCUCCUCUCCCUUCAUCACUUUUCUCUCUCUUAAUCAAAAUCCUCUUUCAAAAAUUUUAAAUUUUCAUUUCGAUUUCCAUUCCAAUAAUGAACCAAACAUUUUUGGAUGAUUCGUCAUUUCAUUUCCUAUUCCAAAACAAUCCAAUUUUAUUUUUCAUUUCUAUUUCAAUCAUGAACAAAACAUGCCCUAAAUUCAAUCUAACGGAAUCAAUUGUAAAUUUAAAAAUCUCACCAUCAAAACGACUUAAUGGUACAUAAUAAAAACGAUUUGAUAGUACGGAGAUGUACGGGUGUGAUUUAAUUCUUUUCUGGGGCCCACUAGAUUUAACCUAGUGUGUGCCAGUUUCAACAUGCGUCCUCAUUUCUCCAUCCACUACGUAGCAAUUGCUAUCUUCUAUAUUCAGCGCGUGAGACUGUGAGAGCAACUGCAUAAAAGGAGUCAGAUACGUAUACAAGUGUCCCUGAUUUGAUAUACUGUACCAAUAUUCUAAAAAUAUAGGUAGACAAAAAAAAAAGUGUAUGUUCUGCCCAUUUAACUUCGAGUCCGAUACGAAUGAGUAUUUAAAUUAUUAAUAUAUUUAUCGGAUCUAUUUGAACAGAUUUGAAUAGUAAAUAUUUGUUUACUAUCCGCUUAAAAUUAGGUACGUAUCGGAUACGUGUUAAAUCUAGAUCAAAUAUAUGUACCCGCAUGCGUAUUUUUUUUUAUAGACUAUUAAAUAAUUUUUGAAAAAAUCAUAAACUUUUUAUUAUAGAAAACUCGCAUUCUAAUGAGUUGCACCCAGGUAGAGAGAUCGGAGAGGUAAAGAGAGCGGCUAGAGUUUGAUUUUUUUUCUUUUUUUACUUUGUUCCUUAAUUCCAGCAAUAAAUAGAGAUUUCUAUUUAGAGAGAAAGAUUCAAACAGUAAUCAAAAGUGGUUAGAACUAAAAAAAAUAAGAAGUAAAAAAAAAAAAAUUUAAAAAAGAAUAAGCAUAACGGCUAGGUUUCACUGAGAUGAAAAUGCACAAAUACCCUUUAUCUAUAAGUUCUAUAAAAAUUAAUCCCUCAACUUUAAAUUUUUUUUAUUUACUAUUGCAUAUUUCACUCCGAAUCAGAGUUCGGAUUUAAAAACUAUUCCGGACCGGUCGGAUCCAAGUCCGACCCAAAAUUUUCAUGAAUUUUUUUAUCCAUAUAUUAUUUAAAUAACAAAAACGUGAAUAAUUUAGGCCUCCUCUAAUAUCUUCUUAAUUUUUUUUAAUAUUAAUUUUAUAUAACUAAUAUAUUGAUAGAAAGAUUCUUUUUUUCCUUCGUAUUUUUAUAAUUGAUUAACUUGGAUAUAAACAAAACAUCCUAAACAUAAUAUCCGUAGGCAAGAACCACAAAAAUAUAGGAGCCUUAUCCAUAUGGAAAUGAUUUUGCAACCAACUUUUAUUAAUAGAUUCAACUAUAGUAUAUAAAUACAAGGAUAAAUCAAAACAUGUAGCCUUUAUGAGUAGGGCACAGAAUUACGACGUGUAGAGCAUGAACAAAAUUUUAUGGGCCCCAGACAAUUUUACAUUUUUAUGGGCCCCAAACAAUUUUAUUUGGGGAUUGCUCGGAUGGGCGCUGUGUGGCGGGUGGCGCUCAUCCGAGCCACCCAGCAAAAAUAGUUGAAGAGAGUCUCCACGCCAGUUGAAGGGGUCUCCAUGUCAUUUUAACACAGCAAAGGGUCGAAUGGGAGGAAUUCUACAUUGUCACACUUGCACCACGUCAUCAAUAACAAGCCAAUCACAUUCAUCCUUUUCAAACAAAAGUACAAUAAAAAUACUUUUUUACAAUCAUAAUGGGACAUAUAUUCUUAAAAGGAUUAAUUUGAUUGGUUUGUUACGCCACGUCACUAAUAUACCCGUUGCAUUCUAGAAUUUUUCGUCGAAUGGGCACCGCUCUCCGCACGGCGCCCAUCCGAGCAAUCUUCAAACCUGUUUGAGCAUUAUGUUCAUAAAAUUUUUAUGCGUACAGCACAAAUUGGGUUAUCUUGAUGCCUACCCUGCUACACAUGAGUUUUUAUGUGGGCUAGAGUAUCCGCCAUAUAACAAUCGUACUAGUGAAAUACUCACGCGAUGCUGCAGAUAUAAAAAUAUUUUUAUAAUAAAUUUUAUUUUUUUAAUAUGUUUAUAUAGUUUUAUAAGUCUAAUUAUUAAUAAAAUAAAAAUUAUAAAAAAUAAUUUAAUCGUUAAAUCUAUUUAAAUAAAAGUCGAUAAAAUCGGUAUAUGUGCAAAGUAAAUUUAUACAAUAAUUUAUUUUAUAAAUAUUUAUAUGAAAAUAAUUUGAGAUAAAUCUAUCAAAAUAAUUAAAAAAAUCAAUAAAUAGAAGAAAAAUAAAAAUGUAAAAGAAAUUGUUUAAUAACAUUAAUUAUAUAUACAUAGAAAUACAUUAUAUUUCGAAAAUUUUACUUCUAAAAUUUAAAUGCUCUAAUUUUUUUAUACAACGAUAUUUUACUUGAUUUAAAUUGUAUCUAUUUGGUUAGAUUUUAUUACGCAAUUUAUUAUGCGUAUUAUUAAUAAAAUUAAUUAACUAUAUUCAUAGAAUUUAGAGAUUUAAAAUUUAAAUUAAUUUCAUAGAGUUUAGAUAUUUAAAAUUUUAAAUUUUAAAUUUUAAAAUUUGAAAAUAAAUAUUAUAAAUGAAAUAUAAAAUAUAAAAUUUGAAAAUUUGGAAGUAUCAAAAUUUUAAAUUUUGAUGUCAAUAUAUAUAUAUAUAUAUAGAACUAGACUACUAUCCUAUUAAUAGCAUCAAGUCAUUUGUGCUACCAAGUUUUUGGUCAUUGGAUUAAGAGACGUACGAUUAGGAUGAUGUGGGCCCCAUACCCGACCCAAUUCCACCCGCUACCAGGGAUCAUAAGUGCGCUUACUGGUGGUGCGCUUGUACGGAUACACCGGGUGCACGUAUUAAUUUCCCUCUCGAGCAAGAGACCCCGUAGACGAGGGUUCUGGGGAGAGGUUUUAUCUCCUCGGCGCGAAGAAUCGCGGGGCACGACUCUGUUAUAUCCCCGGACAAUCCGCAACCACCGAUGAUGAAAUUGCUCUGAGGUCGGAUGGCGGUAAGGAUGAUGGGUGCUUCCGGCAGCGACGCCCGAGGUAAAAGAAAUGUAAGUNUAUAUAUAUAUAUAUAUAUAUAGAGAGAGAGAGAGAGAGAGAGAGAGAGAGAGAGAGAGAGAGAGAGAGAGAGAGCGUGUGUGCUAUUAGGAGCAGGAGGCCUCCGUGCUUCUAAGCCGUUUUUGAUGAUGGAGCUUUCGAAUCGACGAUCAACUUCGUUAGACUUGAUCUAGCAUAUUUGAAGUAUCUAGAAAAUAAAUUUUGUAACUUUUCGAUAUCAUUUACCUAACGAUCGAAAGCGUUGAAAAUCAACGAUUGAAAAUAAAAAUCUCACAAAAAGUUGUGAUAUAGUAUUAAAAUUUUCGAUCAAACAUAUUGAUCUUGCUGUAAAUAGUAUAAAGAAUUUUCUAUCAAGAUUUCAUCUGAUUUGAAUAUUUCUACAUCGUUAUACUUGCAAACGGUAUACAUCAACCAUUAAAAAUUGUUGAUUUUGAAUUCUUUCGAUCACUAGGAAAAUGAUACCGAAAAAUCACAAAAAUUAUUUUCUAAAUAGUUCAAAUACGCUAGAUCAAGUCUAACGGUGCCGAUCGUUGAUUCGAAUGCUCUAUCAUGGAAAACGGCUUAGGAGCACGAAGGCCUCCGUGCUCCUAAUAGCACACAAGACCUACUAUAUAUAUAUAUAUAUAUAUAUAUAUAUAUAUAUAUAUAUAUAUAGAGUCCGGCUACUAUACUCUUAUGAAUACGAUUGCCCUCAUACUCAUAAGUUGUUUUUGAUGAUAGAACUUUCGAAUCGACGAUCCAUACCGUUAAACAUUAUCUAGAGGAUUUAAAACUUCUGGAAAUCAAAUUUUAUAAUUUUUCGACAUCAUUUACCUUACGAUCAAAAUCUCACAAAAUUAAUAAUUUUUAGCAGCUGAUAUGGGAUAGUUGCUAGUUUAACGGUGUAAAAGAAUUAGAAUAUGUUGAAUUUUUUAUAGAAAAUUCUAUUCACUACCUAGAUAAAGAUUAAUAACUCCGAUCUUAAAUUAAAGAAUCCGAUCAUCCAUUUUUAGGACGUCGUUUGAUUUUGACCAUUCAUUUUAUGUCCGUUUGAUGGGCUUUAUUAUGAUUUCGAAAAAUUACGAAAUUUAUUUUUUAGAAGUUUCAAAUACUCUAGAUCAUAUUUAACGGAGUGGAUCGUCGAUUUGGAAGCCCCAUCAUCGAAAACAACUUAUGAGUACGAAGGGUCCAAUACUCAUAAGAGUAUAGUAGCCCUAAUAUAUAUAUAUAUAUAUAUAUAUAUAUAUAUAUAUAUAUUAAAGUAGAACCCUUAGUGUAAGAUUAACAUGUGUCUUUCUAUAUACUUGUCACGUGUCAAGCUCAAAUAUAGAAUAACAAUUUUAUUAGAAACACUAUUAAAUCAAAUUAUACCAAUUAAUUAUAAUUAUAUAUACAAUCAAAUCAAAUUAAAUCAAAUAAAGGUUUAUCAUGCAUCUUUCUAUAUGGUUGCCGCUUGUCAAACUCAAAUAUAGCAAUUAGAUGGUUAAAAAUAAAAUUUUAUUAGAAAACAAUAUUAAAUCAAAUUAAAUAUAAUUAUAUAUACAAUUAACAAAAAAUUUAUUAGGAAACACUAUUAAACACUAUUAUUAUAAUUAUACUCAAAUAUAUAUAGAAUAAAAAUUUUAUUAGAAAACACUAUUAAAUCAGAUUAAAUCAAAUUAUACCAAUUAAAUAUAAUCUAUUCUAUUUACUACAUACUAAAGUAGAACCCUUGGUAUAAAAUUGACAUGUGUCUUUCUAUAUGUUUGCCACGUGUCAAACUUAAAUAUAGAAUAAUAAUUUUAUUAGAAAAUACUAUUAAAUCAAAUUAACAAAUUACACCAAUNCUAAAAUUUUAUUACAAAACAAUAUUAAAUUAAAUCAAAUCAAAUUAUACCAAUUAAAUAUAAUUAUAUAUACAAUUAAAGAGAAUUUUAUUAGGAAACACUAUUAAACACUAUUAAAUUAAAUUAUAAUUAUAUAUACAAUUAACUAGAAUUUUAUUAGGAAACACUAUUAAACACUAUUAAGGCUUAGUUUGGCAUUGAGACCUAUCUAACGGUAUUAGAUAGAAUAGAGUUGAGGAAAAAGCAUAUAGGGAUAUGCUUCUGCGUUCUCCAGUGGGACCGCAGAAAAUAUGUUGUAACCGACUCAUCGCGAUAUGCGGAACGCAAUAUUAGUUACGGAAACAAAUAGGGUAUUUUUCCAACGUAUUUUCUCACCGCACGUAACGCAAUUUCCUCAAAAUCCCAAACGAAGCCUAAAUCAAAUUAUAAUUAUAUAUACAAUUAAAUUAAAUUAAAUCAAAUUAAAUAUUUAUCAUGCAUCUUUCUAUAUAUUUGCCAUAUGUCAAACUCAAAUAUAGCAAUUAGAUGGUUAAAAAUAAAAUUAUAUUAAACACUAUUAAAUCAAAUUAAAACAAAUUAUACUAAUUAAAUAUAAUUAUAUAUACAAUUAACUAGAAUUUUAUUAGGAAAUACUAUUAAACACUAUUAAAUCAAAUUAUAAUUAUAUAUACAAUUAAAUCAAAUUAAAUGUUUAUUUCAAAAAUUAUAAUUUUUCAAUAAUUCAACUCUAUCAUUUUAUUUUUUAAAUAAAUUUAGAUUUUUUUCUAAAAAAUUUUACUAAUAUUAUGAUAUUUAUUAUUUUACUUAUUUAACAAAUUAUCUAUAUUGCUAUUGGAGCAGAUACUUUUCAUCUUCAUGCAACAAAAUUUUUUUUUUCCUUCAUAUUUUCUUGAAGAUCAACAUCUAUAUUUAUUUGAAUCUUGAAAGUUGGUAUAUUUCUUAUAUAUAUACGUGUGCUUACUUUAAUUUGUGUUAAACAUGAAAGUUUAGUUGAUCUCAUUAUAUGCUUAAAUAUUAAUGUCGUUUGUAAUUUUUCAUAUCAAUUUGAGUUUUCAUUUUGUUUUGCACAUCAAUAUGUAAAUAUAAAUUAUUUCGCAGACUAAUUCAUAGAUAAUAGAGUAUGGUUGAAUUUUGUUCUUUACUUUGGUCCAUAAUGUAGAUAAAUAG